AAGCAGCAGGAUGUGUGUCUACAAGUCAUCCACACUGUUACAAAAAGUCAACUAGGCCAGAAGAGGACUUCAUUUGUGAAUGGGAUGAGAGAAACCCUGAGAAGAGUCAAACACACACUCUUCAUAUAUGGGACAGUGAAAAGAAACAAUUUCUUACACAUAUGAACUGUGGCAAACAAGCACAGACAAACAUUCUCUUGGAGCAACUAGGAAUCACCAACAGAAAGACAGACAUAUGGGUACAGACACAAGUCGGCAACCUCACCUGUAAUUCUAGCAAAAUCUCAGUCAUCCUUGAAUGCAUGGUCAAAUACAGUAAGCCUCAGAUUCUCAGAAUGAAAAGGUUAGCUGGAAUCCUGAAAUUCACACUGGACAAACCCAAGGAUAACAAAGGUGCUAAAUAUGAGAUCAGAUGGAGGGAGAGAGGCUCUGAAUGGCAGAAUGUAAGACGUUUCAGAAAAUCUGGUAUUUUAAAUUCCUGAAAU
This 485-nucleotide long non-coding RNA is filed under the name Sinocyclocheilus anshuiensis. RNAcentral's name for it is "lncRNA (ENSSANG00000030068.1)". Lineage: Eukaryota; Metazoa; Chordata; Actinopteri; Cypriniformes; Cyprinidae. The record is from RNAcentral.